GGUGGAUCAAAGACAACAGAGACCAACGGGAGAAAGUUUGGGCUUUGCCAGGCUGAUAGUGGGUGCUGAAUGAGGUGAUUCAUGUCUGUUUUGUUAUGUGUAUUUCGCUGGGAUGGAAAAUGUUAAUUGGGUUCCCCAGGCAGCCUGUUGGGCAGCAUCUUGCAAAUUAAGAAUCUUGUCUGUGGUUCCAUAACACAGAAAGGGGUGAUUUUCUCUUGUAAAGUGGUUUGAACCCCACAGCCAUGGCACUAGCGAGCAGGGUCAUCAGAGCUGCUCCAUUCUUCUGGAAGCUGCAGAGAAAGGGAGCCCGGAAACCUGGUAUGCCGGCAAAAAGGGUAAGUGGCAGGGAAAAAGGGGAGGAGAGAGAAAAGACAGACUCAGUUGGCCUCAUGCUAUCUUCACUGGGUCUUGUUGGAAAGCUAAGUCUCCUCUAUCAGAGUAAAGAUUUUUCCUUUUUAAAAUUUUUGGAGCUAUCAUUUUGGCCAAAUGGAUGACUUAUGGUGACCUGGGAUGCUAUUUUGUGAUAUUCAGUGUUUUAAACCUUUGAUAUUUGACAAACGUUCCAAAACCAAAUUAUAAAUUAUGUCUCUUUUUAACCUUUUAGAUAUUAGGUUCUUUAAAGUCCAAAAAUGACAUUUGGCUUAUUUGGUAUAAAAAUCAUACAGAAAGCAUUGUCAAAUAUGACAUGGUGUUCUGUGUGCCACAGAGGUAACAAAUUUCCUUGCCAAUUGUGUCUUUAACUGUGGCUGCCCUAAAAUGUUUUGUCAUCCACAGGCAAUUGUUGUCUCAUUUUGGUCCUCUUUUUUUCUUUUUUUUUUUUUUUGGAGAUGGAGUUUCACUCUUGUACUCUUGUCGCCCAGGCUGGAGUGCAAUGACACGAUCUUGGCUGACUGCAACCUCUGCCUCCCGGGUUCAAGCAAUUCUCCUGCCUCAGCCUCCUGAGCAGAUGGGAUUACAGGUCUUAAGACUUCUAUCAUACACAGACAUUUCGUCUUGCUUUGGCAGUUUAUAAUCAGGUAUAAGUCUCUUGGGGAAUCUGACCUCAUACCUCAUCUAUGCAGUUCCUGUACAAGGUUCCUGACCUGUGCAGGAAGACGCCAGAGCGAUCCGCAGUCUUUUCCCAUCUUCAUAGGCUAACCUCAAGAUUAAGGUGUUAUAAAACACAAAGGGAGGGAUUGAAACUACCUUUGCAAAAUUAUGACUGAGACAGUGAAAGAAAUCUAACUUGAUCGACUCCAUCUUGCUUCUAACCUGCAAGCUGUCCUUGUCCAUUCUUGGACCGAGGCUGAAUUAACUUUGGGAGGAACUUAGUUUAUAGUUUAAAUCAAAGACGGUAACAGCCCUUUCCCAAAGCAGACCUCCUUCUUGCCUGAAGACUAAAUUGCCUUUGUAGGGCUAACAAUAACCACGAGAUAAGAAAUCAUGGUGGAGGAGUCAUGUAGCUGGAGGGUACAAGAUUCUGACCCUCCCUAAACUGCUCCUAAGAUUAGUGCUUGAGCUAUUUUGCCGACCCUGCACUUGAUAGAUCAGCUGACACCACCCAGAUGGAUAAACUGGCUCAUCUGACUUGCGGCCCCCACCCAGGAUCUGACUCGGUGAAAGAAGACAGCUUUGACUCCCUGUGAUUUCACCCCUGACCAAUCAGCGCUCCCAGCUCACUGGCUUCCCCCGCACCCACCAAGUUUUCCUUAAAAAUUCUGCUCACCAAAUGCUCAGGAACAUUGAUUUGGGUAAUAACACAAUUCCGGUCGCUUGCAAAAUUAAAAAAAAAUCUAAACAGUACAGCAUGUUCUUUAUAUAUUAUCUGAAAGAUAAUUUUCAGAAAAAGGUAAAACAAUGACUUGCACCAAGAUAUUAAAAUACACAACUCUUAAAGAUUUUAUUUUACACAUAUGAUAGAAGGGAACUAGGCAGAUGUUAGAAAUAGUUUAAAGGAAAAGUGAAAACAAUACAAAUUUAUAUGGAGUAAAGGAAUUUUGAAAUGAGUUGCAAAUGGAAAGAAAACUUUUUUAUUUAUUUAUUUUCAAAUUUUUUACAGGAGAAAGAAGCCAGUAAAAAUCACUACUAGACAGGGCAGAAGAUAGAUAGAUAGAUAGAUAGAUAGAUAGAUAGAUAGAUCGAUCUAUGUCUAUAUAUCUCCAUCAGUUACCUGCAAUUUGCAAAGAAUUGUAAAAUAGUUCAAAGACAAUGAACAACCCAGAAGUAUGUGUUACAGUUUUCCAUUGAAACACAUUUUUUAAACAUAUCUAAUAGGUAUGUCUUAACUAGCGAAUUCACACCACUCUUCAGUGAGAGGACUAUUUAUUGAUCAUCUGCCUGUGUGUUGCAGGUUGCUGUCUACCUUUUUCAAAUUUGAAGCAAAGAUUUUCAUUAAAAGAUUUUCACUAGAAUUAAUUAAAAAUCAAAGCCCAAAUCAAAACAGAAUACACAGCAAGCUGUGCUAGUGACAUGGAUGACAACUUCUCCUGGGGAUUACAACUCUCAGGGUGACAUCCGUGUAGAUGAUUCUGUAACUGUUAAAAUGAAAAACUCCCACCCUGUGGGAACAGAGCCGGGUGAGCCCUGGCUUCCACACAGUGCCACCCUGAGAAGGCGAGGUCUCCCCAGCGUCUGUCUGCAGUGCAGCCAGGGCGGAGGAAUGAAGUGUCACAGCAGGAAGCAGAUGGCUGCAUUUGCAGAUAAUCAAUCUAGAGACUUGCAGCCCUGAGUUUCAGGGGAACUUGUCUAAGUAGCAUCCUGUCGCUGGAAGGCAUCUAAUGAACUAAGUUACUGGUGUUCUUGCUUGUCAGAUAGCCCUGGAACACUGUCUGGAUUUUAUAAUCAUUUUCUUGAGAUUGACAAAGUCUAAAUUCUUGCUGAUCAUUGACGAGUCUAAGUUGUAAAGAAUGCUACCCAUGGAUGGAACUUUUUGCUUAAACUUAAGAAAGGGAGGAGAAAUAACAGCAGCGGUGCCCCGUGAAGGUUUCCCAAACAUGGAGGAGUCCUGGUAUAAACCAUGCCUUGGACCCACAGCGGAAGGAGGAGCACAGCACAGCUGGGAUCACGAGGACUCUGAAGUCUCCUGGGACGUGACAGGAGCAGGCUCAGCCACUGUGCACAGCGUGCGUCCUUGAGCAGGUCACCUAAACUGCCUGGGUCUCACAUCCCUGCCAUUCAUGGUGUUGGGGCUUGCCCUGACUUUGUACCAAGAUCAGAGAGGGGCUUAUAGUAGGGAGAACCCAGGCAGCGGGAGGAGGCACUUCCAAGCCCCCAAGGGUAGGCGUGGCCUUCCCGGCCCCCAAGAGUGCAGGGAUGCCAGAGGCUGCAGCGGCAGAUUUGGGCGACUGCUGCCCAAAUUCCUACCUAAGGGGCCUGGGGAGGUCACCCUACAAACCACAAAGCCUCAUUGGAGGGGUCUUAUUAACCCUGUGUAACUCGGCUCUUUCCAACCUUACUCUGGUGUAACCUCACAUGACAGAUAAGGAAGAAAAUCCAAAUAUUUUAACCCUAAAUAUGUUUCUUGGCCAUAUCUUGAAAUGUCCCUGCAGAGCUGUCUCAUGUGGGGAAAGUCUAUAUUCUGUAGAAAAUCCUGUUCCCUUUCCAGGCCUUUUUCCUCAUCCAGGAAAUACUCCACUAAGUUUCUGGCACCUUUUAAGUCUGAUAAGAAACAUUUACCAUCGAUUCUCUGUAAGUCUUCUACCUGGAGGCUGCAUCAGCGUAAUAAGAACCUUGGUCUCCACAACCCCUUAUCCUACCCAGAUAUUUCCUUUCUAUUGGUUCCAGGUCUUUAGAUAAACUCUUUCAACCAACUGCCAAUCAGAAAAUCUGUGAAUCUGCCUGUGAUCUGGAAGCCUCUGCUUCCUGGUGUGCCACCUUUCCCGUCUGAACUGAUGUACAGCUUAAAUGUAUUGAUUGAUGCCUUAUGCCCUAUAGCAUGUAUAAAACCUAGCUGUGCCCUGAUCACCUGGGUCACACGUUCUCCGGGUCUCCUGAGGACUGUGUCACGGGCUGUGGUCACUCACGUUUGGCUCGAAAUAAAUCUCUCCAAUAUUUUACAGAGUUUGUUCUUUUUGUUGACAAUCUUUUAAAAUGUCUAAUCAGGAGAAAAUCCCACUCAUACAGAGCACCCAAAGGUGUGCUGGCUGCCCACUGACUAUUCCGGUCGACAGAGCCAGGUACAGGGGUCAGAGUCACAGCAGCUCCCGUGGGCCGAUGAGGAGGCAUGGCUGGGGAGGAGGCUCUGUCUCUCCACACCCGAUGGAGGCAGCUCUGCUCCUGAGCUCAGGGUGGACUUCACCUGGAGUUAGGAGUCAGGGGUCUGGGUCCUGCUUCCUCAUUGCUCUGGUACCUGAAAAGAUAAGCAGUCUCCGUGAGAUGGGGCCUGACCCAGCAUGCACAAGCCCGGGAAGGAAAGGAGUGAAAGGACCUGCUUCCCUGGGACCAGAGCAAAGAGCAGAAAGAGAGUAAGUGAUUGAUGUCGCCUGGGUUAGAAGGAGGAAGUAGAGAGGAGCGGGUUAGCGUUAGGGGCUUGCCUGGGCAGUCACAAAGGGCCCCACAGGCAGAUGAGCCUGUAAACCAAAAAUACAUUUCUAAGGCCCCCCAGCUGAUAGAGAAUGGAUGGGCUCCUGACUAAACUCCACCCUCAAGCCUAGAACCUUGGCCUUAAGUGAAAACAGCUGACCUGUUUGCCUUUUUGGCCCUCCCUGUAUCCUAUCCUGUGCUCAUAAAAAGACUUCAGCUGGCAGAGCAAAGAAGCUGCUGAGGUAAGCAGUCAGCGAUGCAAGCUGCUGAGCGGUGGGGAUGCAAGUGGCCGAGUGUCAGAGACUCCCGAUUGACAGCGCUGACUUCAGAUGGUGUCGUUUUCCAUGGGGAACCCGGCCGGGGAGGACGGUGCUUCACGGCAAGAUCACCUUCUUUCCACACCACCCCCUUUCCAGUUCUGCCUUUGUCAUCAUUCAAACAGUCUGUGUGACCUGAUUCUUCCUGGACACUGAACAAGAACUUGGGUGUCAAAAAGUGCCAACCUACCAAGGAAAAACAUAGAGGCCUAAAAUGUGACCCCCUGCAAUGAUCUGAUCAGGGAAUAGUCAUAUUUAAAAGGUAAAUGUGAAAGUCAACUGAGUUGAAAUUUGAAUGAAAGCUUUUCAAUAUGCUAAUUAUUUUAAUUCCCACGUCUCCUGAAAUCCAGUGUAAAGGUAGUUUGUGCGGACACCAAAAAAAAAUUGUACAACACAGAGGAAUGGAGAAAACGCCAUCCUGCUUUCUGUGGGACCGCUGACAGAGGAGGGGUGCUGGUCUGCCUUCUCUGUGAGCUGUGCCUUGGGUACUGCACCAUCCUGCUUUGCGUGAGGCUGCUGACGGAGGAGGGGUGCUGGUCUGCCUUCUCUGUGAGCUGUGCCUUGGGUACUGCACCAUCCUGCUUUGCGUGAGGCUGCUGACGGAGGAGGAGUGCUGGUCUGCCAGUAAACCUUUUAAAAUAUUUUACAGAGUUUGGCUUUUUCAUCAGCAUGGCAGAAACACCUUUCCCCUUUCUCUAGACACCCAAUGUAUCAGUGUGGCUGUUGGAAGAUAAACACUUUCAUGAAAAUAAUGAGGCAGUCAUAAGUUCCUCAAACCUGCUGUGUUUUAAUGUCUCUUGACAGAUGCCCUGGAUCUGUUCCUGAAGGAUUACAGCAUGAAGAAAAAUAAUGUGGGUAGCCGGGCUUCAUCUUAGCAACACGAGCACCUCAUUUUGGUUUUCAGUUGGUCUUUUAAUGAACAAAUGUGUUGGAAUGUUUGGGUCUCUGGUUUUUAUGCCGAUUUCUACCAUCCUGCCCUGGGGAUGAGGUGGAGCUGGGAUUAACAAAAAAUUCCUAUUCUCCAGCCAGGCGCAGUGGCUCACGCCUAUAAUCCCAGCACUUUGGGAGGCCAAGGCGGGUGGAUCACCUGAGGUCGGGAGUUUGAGACCAGCCUGGCCAACACGGUGAAACCGAUCCCUACUAAAAAUACAACAAAAAGUUAGCGGGGUGUAGUGGCAGGUGCCUGUAAUUUCAGCUACUUUGGAGCUGAGGCAAGAGAAUCACUUGAACCCGGGAGGGGGAGGUUGCAGUGAGCCGAGACCACGCCAUUGCACUGGUCAAUAAGAACGAAACUCUGUCUCAAAAAAAAAAAAAAUCCUAUUCUCCAUGGGACCCAAAUCCCUUUUUACCUCCACCUCCUGGAUAUGCAGCAAUUAAGUGAUUCACGGAGGUGCAGUGAGGCGAAGGUUCCAUGUAGCCACAGGUUGGAAGAAACAAGUACUGUUGGCAUCAACUUUGUCAGCUUGAAGCAGGCCUUCUAGAACCCAUAAUGCCAGGACAAGCUUUCUAGAUGGCAGAAGAGCCUAGCCUAUUUGGUGUGAAUGAAAGACACUCAGGUGAUACCUUCUAUCUCUUCAAGGCAGCUGUGCUCCUUCAGCCCCAGAAUAACAUACGUGUGACAGACCAGGAUUCAGCCCACAGCCUGGAGCCAAGACACCAUCCGACCCAGAUGAACCUGCGUGGAUCACCUGAGCCACUAGUGACCCAGAGAUCCUGAGAGUGAAAAACAUGCAUGGUCCUAUACACCACUGAGUUUUGGGAUGACUUGUUACUUAGCACUAUUAUGACAAUUGCUGACUAAUAUACCAGGCUCCUGGAAGAUUUGUUGUGAGGUUCUCAUAAAAUGAUGAAUGUGAAAUUGCAUUGUAAGCUGCUUUUAAAAAAGGUACUUAGCUGGAGUGAAAGCUCUACAAAGGCAGAAAUUGUUUUGCUACUGUAACUAGAUGAGUUCCUGGAAUAAAAUAGUAGCUCAAUAAAUACCAUAUUAGAUGCUCGAGGUCUGGCCUCAACCCUGUCAUCAUUGUCAAUCCCUGCGGCUCCUCCUUCCAGGGAGGCUGGGCAGAAGAGCAACAGGAGCAGGUGCUCAGGGGCAACACAGAAGACAGGAGCAGGUGCUCAGGGACAACAAGUACUCAGGGGACAGAAGGUGCCAGGAGGUAGUAGGUGUUCAGGGGGCAGCAGGUGCUCAGGGAGCAGCAGGUGCUCAAAGGCAGUACAGCAGACAGGAGCAGGUCAUUUCUAAAUAAGUUUAAAAACUGAAACAUGAAUUACUAAGCAUGAGUUUAAAGUUUAUAUCCUUUGACAUCGUGUUUUUACAUAGUAUAGAGAAGCUAAAUGUAUUUGGUUCUAUUAAUAAACAUGAAAAUUGUCCGGGUGCAGUGGCUCACACCUGUAAUCCCAGCACUUUGAGAGGUUGAGGAGGGCAGAUAGCUUGAGCCCAGGAGUUUGAGACCAUCCCAGGCAAUGUAGUGAAACUUUGUCUCUACAAAAAAAUACAAAAAUUAGCCAGGCGUGGUGGCUCCAGUUUUGACUGCAAGGAUGGACCCCUGAAAACGCCCAAGGCUUCAGAGGAUGACCGCUAGAGCCAGCAGUUUCUCUUUCCAUAAUCAAUCAUGUUAUUUGAUAGUUAUGAGAGUUGAUUCAAGAUUGAGAGAUGGAAUAGGCUGUUAUUACUCAGGCUCAUUUCCUAAAGUAAAUCAUAAUUUAUAGAUGUGGGACACAUAGGCUUUGAGAUUCCGAUACAAUUAGUGCAAACAUUUAGAAGAUAAAUUGGCCUCCAUUCCAAGGUAACCAAAUGGAU
RNAcentral lists this long non-coding RNA (7617 nucleotides) under Homo sapiens (human). RNAcentral describes it as "non-protein coding lnc-UNC93A-1:2". The record is from RNAcentral. Lineage: Eukaryota; Metazoa; Chordata; Mammalia; Primates; Hominidae.